AGCAGUCGCCACGGUAAUACAGAGGGUGCGAGCGUUAAUCGGAUUUACUGGGCGUAAAGCGUGCGUAGGCGGCUUUUUAAGUCGGAUGUGAAAUCCCUGAGCUUAACUUAGGAAUUGCAUUCGAUACUGGGAAGCUAGAGUAUGGGAGAGGAUGGUAGAAUUCCAGGUGUAGCGGUGAAAUGCGUAGAGAUCUGGAGGAAUACCGAUGGCGAAGGCAGCCAUCUGGCCUAAUACUGACGCUGAGGUACGAAAGCAUGGGGAGCAAACAGGAUUAGAUACCCCGGUAGUCCCUGUCUCUUAUAU
This 303-nucleotide ribosomal RNA is filed under the name uncultured bacterium. Its description in RNAcentral is "partial 16S ribosomal RNA". It matches the Rfam family "Bacterial small subunit ribosomal RNA", at positions 507 to 809 of the family's 1533-position model. The record is from RNAcentral.